This is an RNA transcript of Brassica napus (rape), 3190 nucleotides long. RefSeq lists it as uncharacterized. The transcript is spliced from 5 exons. NCBI's taxonomy places the organism in Eukaryota, Viridiplantae, Streptophyta, Magnoliopsida, Brassicales, Brassicaceae. The record is from RefSeq and is a predicted model, not a curated record.
AAUGUUGGUGUUGGAAACUUGGUUAACAAGCUCUGUAUGACUGUUGCAAUGGGGUCAUAUUCUCUUAUUAAACCAUUGAGGAACCCAAAAAUCUUCAUAGAUUCUUCAAUGGGUUUUCCUAUUGCACUUAGAGACUCACACAGCGCCUUGAAAUCUCUGCAGUAGACCGAAAAGCUCUUGUCUUUCUUGGAUAUAAGUUGUAAGCUCCGGCGAAGUGAAAACUCUCUAGCUAAGGAGCUUUUGUUGAAGUUCUCGGCAAGAGAAGUCCAGACUUCGCGUGAGGUAGAGAGAUUGUGGACGGUGCCUAAGACUUCUUCAGAGAGAGAGUACCAAAGAUCCAAGAUUUGACCAACUGGUCUGAACAGAACCAUGACUCAAAGAGGGGGUUUGGUUCUUCAACUUAGAGCAGCUCCACGAGUAACAACACGCGUUGCGGGAGGAGAAGGAACAACUUCAUUGAUGAAUCCUUCAAGCUUUUGACCGGACAAAAUAGACUCAAACUGGGUUUUCCAAAGAAUGUAGUUUGAAUCUGUAAGUUUCAAGGUAACAGAACUCAAGAUGUGGACAUUACGAGGGAACGAGUAAGGGUUUUGGUCAUCUGCCAUUGUUUCACUUGUUAAGGUUCACAGUGGCUCUGAUACCAUGUGAAGAACACAAGACAAGGAGAGGUUUAUGAAAACUGAAUUACUUUUCUCAUUAACUUCAACUAGGGUUUUACAAGGUUCUUAAAUACUAGAGAUAAAACAAUCGAGAAGCUUUGAUCUUUACAUCUGUAACCUUAUCCUCGUAGCUGUAAAGUAAUCAGUCAAUUGGUAUAGAGAGUACCGUUAGGAACAGGUUCUGUAGGAUUGUUGUCUGCUCCUUCUCCGUACGUUCUCUGAGAUUCAAAACAGAGGAGAGACGUUGCUUGAACUGUAGCGUGUUCACCUUUUGAUUUGUUUCAUGAUGGACUGAGGAUAUACUGGACCUUGCAAGGCCAUUGUGGUAGUCUCACUAACACUGGACUGGAUAACAUGUCCAAGCUUUGGUAGAGGUGUUCAAAAUUGUUAAUCAAAAUUAAGUUUUGGUUUAUAUAUUUCUUUUAAGUAUGCUUAUCAUCAGUUUCUUUAAAACUAUAUGUUAAAGUCAACUUCACCUCAUUACCUAAAAAACAAGAUCAGAGCAUGAGUUGUUAUUGACUUGAUAAAAAAGAAGACAUUAUACCAAAACAAUGUUAUAAAAAAGAUGGAAUGGAGAUUUGGUCCAAAAGAGUAAUAAGCAGUUUUAGAAAGGGUACAAAUCCAAAGAGAGAGAGAGUUUUUUGAUGCUAUGAAUAUAAACAUCAAAAGUUUAUUCACCCAAACAUUAUUUGACGAAACACAAUACAGUAGACAGCAGAGUACGUUACUUCCCAGACUUAGAGCGGGGUCAGACCAACCACACCUGCGUUAGGACCCACGUAGCUCGUGAGAUGAAACUGCUACUGAUAGUACACUAACUAUCUAAUAAAAAAAACUGAAAACCUUUCUAACGAAAAAGAAUUCUUAUUAUACAUAUGUAAACGCUUGAAACAAUGGCAGAUGAAUCGAAAAAAUUAAUCAUUACCGCAUGCCAGUCUCCCGCCUGCAUUACCAGUGGUCAGACUAAGCUCACACCCACCUAUUAUUUGCCAGAACCAAAUUAAGAAGAAGGAAGAAUAGUACAUUGGAGAAUCAUCAUCAUCAUAUAUAUAAUGAGACACUUUUGCUUUUCCUAAAGCUAUCCACGUGUCUAUAUUUUGAAUACUGUGGGUCCCAUGUUGAAAUCGGAAAUGAAUUUGUGCUUAUUAACUGCAAAUGUGGUUGUAGUAUCUGAAAGCCUGUUUUUUUUUUGAAGGUUUUGGCCCACUUAGGGCCUUUCGCGUUUGGUUUCGCUUACGCUUAAAACGUUGUGUUUUGAGGCCUCUCCAUCUGAUUAGGGUUUCAUCCUUCUCUUUCUUCCUUACAGAACUGGGUCCGCCGUUUUCGCAUGUCAUGAUCUGCAGAACGCAUGUUCAUCUUCUCAUCUCUUCACCUCUCCAGUCGGUCUCUCUUUAUUUCUUUAAAUUCUGGAAUAAAUGUUAUUUGCAUUCAAUCUAUUCUCGGUUACGACGCUUCCAUUUUCUUCUUCUGAGAGCUAUAUAUAUCAGCGGUUUGACAGCAUGCUUGAUCCUCAGAACCACUAUCAGUUUAUCAUUUUCUAAAGUGUUGCAAUAUUCAGAAAGAUGGCUUCCUCCGAUGUUGUCGUCGCUCACUCAGCCUUCGAUGCUCUCCGCCUUGGAAGAUCUGCCCAGUUCAUCGUCGGUUGUCUGCUACGUUUUUGGGACUCUAAGAACAUUAAGAAACAGGGUGAAUUCAUGGGAAUCACUCUGCUCCUCCUUGAUGAGAAGAACUCGGUUAUACAUGGAUUCAUUCCUGCUGGUCGCUCCCCUUAUUACCGUCUGUUACUGAAAGCGGGCUCAGUCGUGAGAGUUUCGCGCUUUGAGAUUGCAAGAUGUACAAAUAUGUACAAGAUAACAGACCAUCCUUUCGUGAUCCGGUUCAUCCCUCAAACAACCAUUGAUGAAGUUGUCGCUUACGCUCCUGUGAUCAACGUUGAGAAAUUCAUGAUACGCAAGUUUGACCCUCUCCAAGCUCUCGCAAACACUAAUUUGGAGCUUCCCGAUGUUGUGGGGCAGAUUCAAUCUGUCCAAGGUUCGGACCUGACGGCCGCUGGAAUGAUGAGUCGAGUUGUUGUCCGUUUAAUGAUUGAACUGAUGGUGGUCGUGUACCUCUCUUUGUGGGAUGAUGCUGCAUCAAUGUUUAGGGGUCUCAUUAGCUCAGGUGAUAGGACACAGUCAGUCAUGGUGGUAGCAACCGUGAAUCCCAAAAUAUUUGGAGUUUUGUAAACUCUAACCUUUGUCAUUGUUUUUUAAUAAUGGUUUGUCAAUUUAUAUACUUACACGAGCUAUAAUGUUGGCCCACUUUGGCUAUCCGAAACACUUUUCAUUCCGCAGGUAACCUGUACCUCAACUCUACCCCAGCGACAAAAUUUUAUUUCGACCCAGCUUUACAAGCUAUCGCGGAGUUUACAGCCAGCUUAAACGCCCCCUGGAGAAGCUUUUCCCUGCAUUGACACCAAAGAUGGCAUAACAAAGAAGGAAGUUGUCUCCAUAGGAGAGCUAAACAAGUUCAUUACCAACUCUGAUGAACAG